CACACAGAACCUCAAAUAUGGCCGUACAGAAAAUCAACAUGAAAAAACAUAUCUUAUUUUGCAAGAUGACCACACUUCAUACAGAAGCUAAAUUAGAGUUGCCAGUUUGCACAUCAUAUGAUUUACUUUCUUAUUCUAACCAAAUUUCAACUAGGUUCCUCCAAUUACUCAUAUGAACUGCCAAAACUUGUAAAUUCCUCCAAUCACACGUUUCAUCAUUGUUUGUCCCCACCAACUUCUAAUUAUCAACUCCACUGUUGCAGCUCAAGUCAUUCGCCAUUGCAUCUGAAUGUGGAUCCAGAGUUACAAUAUUGAGUAUUUCGACGCCUCUGAUUGGAAAAGCCCUGCUAUCCUCAACAGUGGCAGUGUUGGACAUUUGAACAUUGACCCCUCUAUGCAUGCCCAAGGCAAGGAUAUAAUACCAAUUUG
This 429-nucleotide unclassified non-coding RNA is filed under the name Hevea brasiliensis (rubber tree). The record is from RNAcentral. Lineage: Eukaryota; Viridiplantae; Streptophyta; Magnoliopsida; Malpighiales; Euphorbiaceae.